This 429-nucleotide ribosomal RNA is filed under the name Chloroflexota bacterium. RNAcentral's name for it is "Chloroflexi bacterium partial 16S ribosomal RNA". It matches the Rfam family "Bacterial small subunit ribosomal RNA", at positions 355 to 776 of the family's 1533-position model. Lineage: Bacteria; Bacillati; Chloroflexota. The record is from RNAcentral.
UGGGGAAUAUUGCACAAUGGGCGCAAGCCUGAUGCAGCCAUGCCGCGUGUGUGAAGAAGGCCUUCGGGUUGUAAAGCACUUUCAGCGGGGAGGAAGGCGUUAAGGUUAAUAACCUUGGCGAUUGACGUUACCCGCAGAAGAAGCACCGGCUAACUCCGUGCCAGCAGCCGCGGUAAUACGGAGGGUGCAAGCGUUAAUCGGAAUUACUGGGCGUAAAGCGCACGUAGGCGGUCUGUCAAGUCGGAUGUGAAAUCCCCGGGCUCAACCUGGGAACUGCAUGCGAAACUGGCAGGCUAGAGUCUUGUAGAGGGGGGUAGAAUUCCAGGUGUAGCGGUGAAAUGCGUAGAGAUCUGGAGGAAUACCGGUGGCGAAGGCGGCCCCCUGGACAAAGACUGACGCUCAUGUGCGAAAGCGUGGGGAGCAAACAGG